This 178-nucleotide ribosomal RNA is filed under the name uncultured bacterium. RNAcentral's name for it is "partial 16S ribosomal RNA". It matches the Rfam family "Bacterial small subunit ribosomal RNA", at positions 1315 to 1500 of the family's 1533-position model. The record is from RNAcentral.
ACCCCAUGAAGCUGGAUUCGCUAGUAAUCGCGCAUCAGCCACGGCGCGGUGAAUACGUUCCCGGGCCUUGUACACACCGCCCGUCAAGCCACGGAAGCCGGGGGUGCCUGAAGUGCGCUGCCGCAAGGAGCGCCCUAGGGUAAAACCGGUGACUGGGGCUAAGUCGUAACAAGGUACC